GGCAGACAUGGUUAGCAUAUGGCAAGGACUCUCUGGAAAAGCCAAACUGUAGCACUUCCUUUCUGGGUUAAUGGGCUCCUCCAUCCAUGGGUGCCUUGUCUGUUACAACUUUCUUUUUUUCUAUAACGCUUUAAACUUUCUGGUCUUUUAUUAUACUUUCUAGGUGGAGGUCUCUAGUCGGAUGCUCAAUUCAGACCCCUUUUAAAUGUACUCUAUCGAGGGUGAUUACCCUACAUAAUCAACAUUUUAACAAGAACCUCUGGAGUCACUGUUAAUCACCUCAGUACUCCUUCAUGUCCAUGGCUCACUCUGCAACACAGAGAACCAGGCUUCAACCAGGAAUGCAUUCACCAGAUCUGCUUCCGAAGACACUGGGACAUUCCUCCAAGGCUUGAGUGCAGAAGUCUGUCUUCAGUCCACUCACUGGUCAGCCACAGCCAUCCACGGGUCCAUUCACAGAUGUAGUCGGGCGGGGUGGGGGGCAGCGGCAAUGGUCUUGAAUUUGCAGAGAUUCUCUUCACACUUGACGUUUGGUGGAGGGACAAGGCUGGGCAAUUAAAAUAUGGUUGGACCCACCUCCUCAGAGUAGAGGGAGAUUCUCUGCUGUCUUGUCAGCAAAAGAUGCACCAAUGUGCAGGGAAGGAAGAACACAGAGAUACAGAAUUCUAUCAAUCAGUGUUUUGAUGGGCCGGGAAGGAGAUGAAUUUAAUCUUCUCUUUAAUUGUUUGUCAUUGCAUACAAGCUGAAAGCUAAGGUGGCGCUCACAAAUCUGCCUUUCUCCCCAGCAACUGAAUUUUAAUAUCAAGGCAGUGAAGGUCAUUGCAGAAUUUGCCUUAUGUUUGUAUGAACUAAAUCUGGAGACAAUCUCAAAUAUUUACACUCAGUGCCAACUCCGUUCUUUAAAGGGUAGGAGGGAAAGGUGAAUGCCACGUGUAGGUCCUGUGGAUGCCCUCCAAUCCCACGCUCCUCUCUGGAGGAGGAGAGAGUGACAGGACACUGGAGAUGCUGCUAGGAGAGACUGAGCUCGCCAAUCACUUCCCUGCUGCAAGGAGGACUAGGGAUAUCUCUCCCACCAACUUACAACCCAGCCUCAAGGCUACUGACUCAAGACACAGAAACAAGAUCGGGUGUCAGGACAUACAAUACAAAUUCUGAAAGUAACAAAGUUACAUUGCCUUUCAUUGUCUGUUUCAUCUAAUUUUAGGUGAGCCAAUUUGAUUGCAACAUGUGGAUCUAAAUAGUAUGAGGACGAUUUUGUUAAUUAACCCUGUCAUGUUACACAAAU
RNAcentral lists this long non-coding RNA (1285 nucleotides) under Mus musculus (house mouse). RNAcentral describes it as "long non-coding RNA chr15:93009029-93010314". Lineage: Eukaryota; Metazoa; Chordata; Mammalia; Rodentia; Muridae. The record is from RNAcentral.